Molecule: small RNA, 503 nt
Filed under: Pan troglodytes (chimpanzee)
Lineage: Eukaryota; Metazoa; Chordata; Mammalia; Primates; Hominidae
Description: processed transcript
Source: RNAcentral
CCCGAAGGCCCCACAACCCUGCGCGGCGCCUCAGAGGGGGCGCGCUUGACUGACAGGCGGCGGCGGCGCAGUUGCGAGCGCAGGUUCAUCCCCCAGGCUCCUUGCCAGAGGCCUCCACUCACUCCAGACCCCUAUAGCCCGUCGCUGUCAGCUGUCAACAAAGGAUGCGAAUGCUGGCCGCUUUCUGUGGGCUUCGUGUCACCCAGAGGUGAGCCCAGGCCAGGAUGGGGGACUCCAGGAACCUUUGCCCUCACCUUGACUCCAUAGGAGAGGUGACCAAAGAGGACUUGCUGCUCAAAUCUAAGGGAACCUGUCAGUCGUGUGGGGUCACCGGACCAAACCUAUGGGCCUGUCUCCAGGUUGCCUGCCCCUAUGUUGGCUGCGGAGAAUCCUUCGCUGACCACAGCACCAUUCAUGCACAGGCAAAAAAGCACAACUUGACCGUGAACCUGACCACGUUCCGACUGUGGUGUUACGCCUGUGAGAAGGAGGUAUUCCUGGAG